Cannabis sativa is the source of this 439-nucleotide long non-coding RNA. RefSeq lists it as uncharacterized. The transcript has 3 exons. The record is from RefSeq and is a predicted model, not a curated record. NCBI's taxonomy places the organism in Eukaryota, Viridiplantae, Streptophyta, Magnoliopsida, Rosales, Cannabaceae.
UAGACAAAAACCUAACAUUAGAACAAAAUUAUUCCUUGCUCUCUCUCUCUAACUUUUUGGCCUCAAGAGGACCAGCAGGAAACCAGAACAAAACUUCAUCAAUUUUCUAGGUAUUCUAGCAUAAAUCAAAGGUGUAGUUCAAAGGGUCUCCGUUCAACGCGUGAUUUUCAAUUCAGGUCGAUUGGCACACUUGAAUUUAGAAACGAGGUAAGGGAAAGGCUAAGGCUGAACAUCAGUGAGUCCAGAGCUUAGGGGUGAUUGUACAUGUCAAGAUGGUUAGACCUAGAAAUUUCAAUCUUGUGAUGACUUGGGCCAUACUUUUGUAGUCGAUGUGCAACAUGUUUAUAAAGUAUAUUUUAGAUAUGAAUGUAAUUUUAAAGACGGAAUCCCAACUUUUUGUAUGGAUAUAUAUAAUAAUAGAAGUUUAAAUUUGACACAA